Long non-coding RNA from Gallus gallus (chicken), 398 nucleotides. NCBI's taxonomy places the organism in Eukaryota, Metazoa, Chordata, Aves, Galliformes, Phasianidae. The record is from Ensembl.
UGAGAAGGAGCCAUGUGGUCAUCCAAAGGGGUGGAAAAGAAUUAUCUUUCUUAAGUACUCCUCAAAAAGAAAGGAAAAGCAUGGCCAUUGGAAGUGCCAAAAUGAGACUCCUCAAUAUUUACAUUUUUUCUCUAUUCAAGAAGAGGAAAUUUGUUGGGGUAGUGGGGAGUACUGAUUCUAGUAAGACUCUCUUUUUAUGUGUCUUAUCUGAGGUACUUCUCACUCAUAAAGGAAAUGUUCUUGUCUCUCAGAAGGCCUCUGCUCAACCCAGAAAAUGAAAGAAACCCAUGAGAAAGCCUGGUGCUUUUCAGAGGUGUCUUCUGUUGUCCACCUACUUUUCUUGCUUUUACACUGCUGACUACUGACCUCUGACAAAAACUUCACAAAAACUGUACUGC